This 522-nucleotide ribosomal RNA is filed under the name uncultured bacterium. RNAcentral describes it as "bacterial SSU rRNA". It matches the Rfam family "Bacterial small subunit ribosomal RNA", at positions 9 to 526 of the family's 1533-position model. The record is from RNAcentral.
GAGUUUGAUCCUGGCUCAGGAUGAACGCUGGCGGCGUGCCUAACACAUGCAAGUCGAACGAAGCACUGAGAGUUUGAGAUUUCGGUCAAGAACUUUCUUUGACUUAGUGGCGGACGGGUGAGUAAUGCGUGAGCAACCUGCCUUUCAGAGGGGGACAACAGUUGGAAACGACUGCUAAUACCGCAUGAUAUAUUCGGAUGGCAUCGUCUGAAUAUCAAAGAUUUAUCGCUGAAAGAUGGGCUCACGUCUGAUUAGUUAGUUGGUGAGGUAACGGCUCACCAAGACUGCGAUCAGUAGCCGGACUGAGAGGUCGAACGGCCACAUUGGGACUGAGAUACGGCCCAGACUCCUACGGGAGGCAGCAGUGGGGAAUAUUGGGCAAUGGGCGAAAGCCUGACCCAGCAACGCCGCGUGAAGGAAGAAGGUCUUCGGAUUGUAAACUUCUUUUAUCAGGGACGAAGUAAGUGACGGUACCUGAUGAAUAAGCCACGGCUAACUACGUGCCAGCCGCCGCGGUAAUAC